RNAcentral lists this signal recognition particle RNA (100 nucleotides) under Chlorobiota bacterium. RNAcentral describes it as "Chlorobi bacterium signal recognition particle sRNA small type". It matches the Rfam family "Bacterial small signal recognition particle RNA". Rfam says of the family: The signal recognition particle (SRP) is a universally conserved ribonucleoprotein involved in the co-translational targeting of proteins to membranes. Archaeal SRP consists of a 7S RNA and homologues of the eukaryotic SRP19 and SRP54 proteins. RNAcentral also lists the same sequence under 1 other name. The record is from RNAcentral. Lineage: Bacteria; Pseudomonadati; Chlorobiota.
GACCAAGUCCCGAGCAACGUCAUCGAGCCCAAUCCUGUCAGAUCCGGAAGGAAGCAGCAGUCAGCAUAGGUGGCGUGUGAAUCGGUAAAGCUUGGUCCUU